This 429-nucleotide ribosomal RNA is filed under the name Chloroflexota bacterium. RNAcentral's name for it is "Chloroflexi bacterium partial 16S ribosomal RNA". It matches the Rfam family "Bacterial small subunit ribosomal RNA", at positions 355 to 776 of the family's 1533-position model. The record is from RNAcentral. Lineage: Bacteria; Bacillati; Chloroflexota.
UGGGGAAUAUUGCACAAUGGGCGCAAGCCUGAUGCAGCCAUGCCGCGUGUGUGAAGAAGGCCUUCGGGUUGUAAAGCACUUUCAGCGGGGAGGAAGGCGAUAAGGUUAAUAACCUUGUCGAUUGACGUUACCCGCAGAAGAAGCACCGGCUAACUCCGUGCCAGCAGCCGCGGUAAUACGGAGGGUGCAAGCGUUAAUCGGAAUUACUGGGCGUAAAGCGCACGCAGGCGGUCUGUCAAGUCGGAUGUGAAAUCCCCGGGCUCAACCUGGGAACUGCAUUCGAAACUGGCAGGCUAGAGUCUUGUAGAGGGGGGUAGAAUUCCAGGUGUAGCGGUGAAAUGCGUAGAGAUCUGGAGGAAUACCGGUGGCGAAGGCGGCCCCCUGGACAAAGACUGACGCUCAGGUGCGAAAGCGUGGAGAGCAAACAGG